This 330-nucleotide ribosomal RNA is filed under the name uncultured bacterium. Its description in RNAcentral is "bacterial SSU rRNA". It matches the Rfam family "Bacterial small subunit ribosomal RNA", at positions 28 to 372 of the family's 1533-position model. The record is from RNAcentral.
GACGAACGCUGGCGGCGUGCCUAACACAUGCAAGUCGAGGGUUUUAGUAGUAAUACGAAGAACACUGGCGCACGGGUGAGUAACGCGUAGAUCAUCUGCCCCUAACACUGACAUAACAGUUCUAACGGACUGCUAAUAUCAGAUGUGAUAAGCAAUUAUUAAAGGGUAAACCGGGUUAGGGAGUNAGUCUGCGUCUGAUUAGGUAGUUGGUGAGGUAACGGCUCACCAAGCCUACGAUCAGUAACUGGUCUGAGAGGACGAACAGUCACACUGGAACUGAGACACGGUCCAGACUCCUACGGGAGGCAGCAGUGAGGAAUAUUGCACAAU